RNAcentral lists this ribosomal RNA (374 nucleotides) under uncultured eukaryote. Its description in RNAcentral is "SSU rRNA". It matches the Rfam family "Eukaryotic small subunit ribosomal RNA", at positions 587 to 972 of the family's 1831-position model. The record is from RNAcentral.
AGCUCCAAUAGCGUAUAUUAAAGUUGUUGCAGUUAAAAAGCUCGUAGUUGGAUUUCUGGGUUUCUCGAACUUGUCCGCCGAAAGGUGAGCACGGGUUUGAGGGCUCAUCCUGCUGACAGUGGCCUUUGCUCCAUGAGCUGAGGUUCGCUUCAGCGCCUUUACUUUGAAAAAUUAGAGUGUUCAAAGCAGGCUUACGCUUGAAUACAUUAGCAUGGAAUAAUGGAAUAGGACUCUGUCUUAUUUCGUUGGUUUUCAAGACUAGAGUAAUGAUUAAUAGGGACAGUUGGGGGCAUUAGUAUUUAAUUGUCAGAGGUGAAAUUCUUGGAUUUAUGAAAGACUAACUUCUGCGAAAGCAUUUGCCAAGGAUGUUUUCA